GUCCUAGCCGUAAACGAUGUUCACUAGGUGUGGGUGGUAUCGACCCCUUCCGCGCCGACGCUAACGCAUUAAGUGAACCGCCUGGGGAGUACGGCCGCAAGGUUGAAACUAAAAGGAAUUGACGGGGGCCCGCACAAGCGGUGGAGUAUGUGGUUUAAUUCGACGCAACACGAAAAACCUUACCUGGGCUUGAAGAGCUGGUUGUAAAAUUCGGAAACGAAAUGACCCGCAAGGGAGCCAGUAGAGGUGCUGCAUGGUUGUCGU
This 264-nucleotide ribosomal RNA is filed under the name uncultured bacterium. RNAcentral describes it as "partial 16S ribosomal RNA". It matches the Rfam family "Bacterial small subunit ribosomal RNA", at positions 793 to 1055 of the family's 1533-position model. The record is from RNAcentral.